Molecule: ribosomal RNA, 253 nt
Filed under: uncultured bacterium
Lineage: Bacteria
Description: partial 16S ribosomal RNA
Rfam family: Bacterial small subunit ribosomal RNA
Source: RNAcentral
UACGUAGGGUGCAAGCGUUAAUCGGAAUUACUGGGCGUAAAGCGCACGUAGGCGGCUUUCUAAGUCGGGGGUGAAAUCCUGGAGCUCAACUCCAGAACUGCCUUCGAUACUGGAGAGCUCGAGUCCGGGAGAGGUGAGUGGAACUGCGAGUGUAGAGGUGAAAUUCGUAGAUAUUCGCAAGAACACCCGUGGCGAAGGCGGCCCACUGGGCCGGUAACUGACGCUGAGGCACGAAAGCGUGGGAGCGAACGGG